RNAcentral lists this ribosomal RNA (288 nucleotides) under uncultured bacterium. Its description in RNAcentral is "partial 16S ribosomal RNA". It matches the Rfam family "Bacterial small subunit ribosomal RNA", at positions 773 to 1060 of the family's 1533-position model. The record is from RNAcentral.
GUGGAUUAGAUACCCGGGUAGUCCUAGCCGUAAACGGUGAGCACUAGGUGUUGGAGGCAUCGACCCCUCCAGUGCCGCAGCUAACGCAUUAAGUGCUCCGCCUGGGGAGUACGGCCGCAAGGUUGAAACUCAAAGGAAUUGACGGGGGCCCGCACAAGCGGUGGAGCAUGUGGUUUAAUUCGACGCAACGCGAAGAACCUUACCCAGGCUUGACAUGCAUCGGACUGGUGUGGAAACACACCUUUCCUUCGGGACCGAUGCACAGGUGCUGCACGGCUGUCGACAGCU